Molecule: small nucleolar RNA, 68 nt
Filed under: Laticauda laticaudata (blue-ringed sea krait)
Lineage: Eukaryota; Metazoa; Chordata; Lepidosauria; Squamata; Elapidae
Description: Small nucleolar RNA SNORD58 (ENSLLTG00000004179.1)
Rfam family: Small nucleolar RNA SNORD58
About the family: snoRNA U58 is found in introns 1, 3 and 6 of the ribosomal protein RPL17 gene in humans. U58 is a member of the C/D class of snoRNA which contain C (UGAUGA) and D (CUGA) box motifs.
Source: Rfam by way of RNAcentral
CUGCAGUGAUGACUUUCUUAGGACACCUUUGGAUGUAAAUAAUGAAAAUAAUAUGAAUUCUGAGCAGC